AAAACAGAGUAUGAGUUUGAAGAAACAUGACAAGACAGCUGAUGACAGUAAAGACAAUGAGUGGUUAUAAGUGAGGUUGAGAGUUUUAAGUACCUAUGAUCGUUUGUACAAAAGAAAUGUGGUCUUUGGUUUCCAUGAGCAUGUGAAAUAUGGGAUAAAAUGUGUUUGGACAAAGUGGUGAGCAAUGUCAGGCAUUUUGUGUUACAAGAG
Molecule: non-coding RNA, 210 nt
Organism: Cinara cedri
Lineage: Eukaryota; Metazoa; Arthropoda; Insecta; Hemiptera; Aphididae
Source: the annotation of a GenBank genome assembly